AUGCUGCGGCACGGUGGAGAGGCGCUGAUCCAGCAAGAACUUCAGGCUGUAGUGGUCCGUGCGCACACGGAAUGUCCGGCCCCAAAGAUAAGGCCGCCAGUGGCGCACUGCCUGGACCAGCCCGAUCAGCUCACGCUCAUACGCGGCGAGCUUGUGAUGACGCGCGGCGAAGGGACGGUUGAAGAAGGCCAGCGGCCCCUCGCCCUGGUGGAGGACGGCGCCGCAGCCGAUGCCGGAGGCGUCGCAGUCCACCAUGAACGGCACGUCGAAGUCCGGCAUCUGGAGGACGGGGCCCGUCGUGAGCGCCCGCUAUAG
This 315-nucleotide ribosomal RNA is filed under the name Triticum aestivum (bread wheat). RNAcentral's name for it is "partial small subunit ribosomal RNA". The record is from RNAcentral. Lineage: Eukaryota; Viridiplantae; Streptophyta; Magnoliopsida; Poales; Poaceae.